RNAcentral lists this long non-coding RNA (764 nucleotides) under Pan troglodytes (chimpanzee). RNAcentral's name for it is "long non-coding RNA NONPTRT009285". Lineage: Eukaryota; Metazoa; Chordata; Mammalia; Primates; Hominidae. The record is from RNAcentral.
AAGGUGGCGUGUGCCUGUAAUCCCAGCUACUCAGGAGGCUGAGGCAGAAGAAUCACUUGAACCCACAAGGUGGAGGUUGCAGUGAGCCGAGAUCAUGCCACUGCACUCCAGCCUGGGUGACAGAGUGAGACUCCAUCUCAAAAAAAAAAAAAAAAAAACCACGCCAUUGCACUCCAGCCUGGAUAACAUAGUGAGACUCUGCUCCCCACCACUCCCUAGCAAAAAAAAAAAAAAAAAAGAAAAUAAAUAUAUAGGCCAUGUGGCUCAAUCCUGUAAUCCUAACACUUUGGAAGGCCAAGGUGGGAGGAUCACUUGAGCUCAGGAGCUCGAGAACAGCCUGGGUAGCAUAGUGACAUCGUGUCUCUACAAAAAAUUUUUUUAAAAAUUAGCCACACCCAGGCGCAGUGGCUCACACCUGUACUCCCAGCACUUUGGGAGGACAGGUGAGACCCUGUCUCUACUAAAAAUACAAAAAUUAGCUGGGCAUGGUGGCACAUGCCUGUUCUCUUGCCCAGCUACUCAGGAGGCUGAGACAGGAGAAUCACUUGAACCCGGGAGGCAGAGGUUGCAGUGAGCCGAGAUCGUGCCACUGCACUCUAGCCCGGACAACCAAGAGAGACUCUGUCUCAAAAAAAGAAAAUAAGAAAUAAAUAAAUAAUUUAUAUAUAUAUAUACAUAUAAUUAAAAAGCAAGUUGAUAGAAAAAUAUUAAGCACAUGAUAAUACAGGUAGAAGGCAGACCCAGCAGGUCAGUUUGGAAUCAGA